AUUGAACGCUGGCGGCAGGCCUAACACAUGCAAGUCGAACGGUAACAGGAAGCAGCUUGCUGCUUCGCUGACGAGUGGCGUACGGGUGAGUAAUGUCUGGGAAACUGCCUGAUGGAGGGGGAUAACUACUGGAAACGGUAGCUAAUACCGCAUAACGUCGCAAGACCAAAGAGGGGGACCUUCGGGCCUCUUGCCAUCGGAUGUGCCCAGAUGGGAUUAGCUAGUAGGUGGGGUAACGGCUCGCCUAGGCGACGAUCCCUAGCUGGUCUGAGGGGAUGACCGGCCACACUGGAACUGAGACACGGUCCAGACUCCUACGGGAGGCAGCAGUGGGGAAUAUUGCACAAUGGGCGCAAGCCUGAUGCAGCCAUGCCGCGUGUAUGAAGAAGGCCUUCGGGUUGUAAAGUACUUUCAGCGGGGAGGAAGGCGAUAAGGUUAAUAACCUUGUCGAUUGACGUUACCCGCAGAAGAAGCACCGGCUAACUCCGUGCCAGCAGCCGCGGUAA
This 506-nucleotide ribosomal RNA is filed under the name uncultured bacterium. Its description in RNAcentral is "partial 16S ribosomal RNA". It matches the Rfam family "Bacterial small subunit ribosomal RNA", at positions 30 to 523 of the family's 1533-position model. The record is from RNAcentral.